This 5982-nucleotide long non-coding RNA is filed under the name Gossypium barbadense (sea-island cotton). RNAcentral's name for it is "long non-coding RNA (GBAR_LNC013915)". Lineage: Eukaryota; Viridiplantae; Streptophyta; Magnoliopsida; Malvales; Malvaceae. The record is from RNAcentral.
UUAGAGUUAUCCCCCAAGAUUCAGCAUCCCUUCCACCCUCUCACUCUUCUGCCAAAAUCACCUUAUUCUGGGGGCAUAACCGCGUGCAGUUUGUUUGGUAAGAAUUUUGAGGGAUUUGUUUAUAAUUGUUUUGAUUGUGAGUUCGAUCUGCACAUCACUUGUGCUUUGCUUCAAUCAUCCAUUGCUGCAAAUUUUCCUAAUUCUUUGCACCCCCAUCCUUUACACUUCAUUCAAAAUCAUAACAAGGAAGUCGAGCCUGAUUGCCCGGGGUGUCGGAAACCAAUAUCUGGUCCAUUUUACCACUGUUCAGAUUGCACUUGUCCUAAAUUGUUUUAACCUUCAUAAGGAAUGUGCUGAACUACCCCUUGAGAUUAAUCACCCCUGUGACCGUAAGCAUCCUCUUACUCUCUUGUCACAACCGCCUACUCAUCCCAAGAAAUGUAGUUGCUAUUUGUGCAGAAUCUAUGCAACUUUGAUCUUUCACUUGAUAGUUUUCUUUUUUCACCACCAAAAAUCACAGUUGCAAGUCAUGAACACGCGUGGAUGCUUGUAUCUAGAAAAAUGUGGUUUGUUUGUGAUUUUUGUGGCACUGACGGAGAUCACUCCCCCUAUUUGUACCCUAAACUUAAACUUUGCCCUCGCACUACCCAGUUCAAUCUAGGCUUAAUAUAAAAAUUGCCCCCUAAAUUAUAUUCAUUUUCUCAGAUAGGUAUCUAAACCAUUUUUUUGUCAAAUUGAGUACUUAAAGUAAUUUUUUCCCGCAUUGGUACGCUGUUGCCUGUUAGUUCUCCCUUAGUCAACCAUUAGUCAACAUUGUUCGAUGUUCAAUGAUGAUGUGGCCCAAUAAGUAAUAAGCACGUGGAAAAAAAGCCACAUAAGUAAACCAUCUCAUUCUUUGUAUAAAAAAAGCCACAUAAGUAAAUCAUCUCAUAAUUAAAAAUAAUAUUAAGAAAUAUUUUCACACCCUGUUACUCUCCCACAGUCCCCUACCAUCCUCACCCAACCCUUUCCCUCUGCUAACCCUUCAAUUAUAUUUUCAUAAAAAAAAAAAUCCUCCUUUUUUUCUUCAACAUUGAUUCUUUGUCUCACAAUUCCAUUUAAAUCCAUCCACCACAUGUUUGGGAAAAUGACCCUCAAAAAAAUAGAUUUUAAGCCUGAAAUUGGUGUUUUCCUUUUCAUGUAUUGGAUUUGCUUUCUUAUAGUAGGAUUAUAAGUUUGUGGGUGAAGGUUUUGUAUUUGUUAGUUUGGUUUAGUGGACUCUUAAUUUUAUUUAUGGCCUUCUUCCAAUUCGGAAUUUUGUUUGUACUCUGAAUCUCUAAAGUGCAAAUAACCAAAUUAAGCAUCUUUAAUGUACCAAUUGGUUUGUGUCUUUUACAGAAAAAUAAAUUUUCUAAUUUUUUUUUAUUUUGCCACAUGCCUAUUAGUGAUUGAGCCACAUCAUCAUUGACUAAGUUGAUUAAUGGUUGACUAACGAAGGACUAACGAGGUACAAACGUAAGAAAAAAUAUGGUUUAGAUACUCAAAUUGAUCAAAAAAGUGUUUAGGUAAUUAUUUAAGCAAAUGAGUAUAUUUUAAAGGACAAUUUUAAUAUUAAGCCUUCAACCUAUAAAUAGAUUUAUUUAUAAUUGAUUUAAUUUAAUAUGAUCUAAUUCAAAUUAAUUGUAAAACACAUUUAAUGACUUAAUUUUUAGUCACAAAUGAUAAACUUCUACAACAUAGUUUUUUAGUUCAAAUUGGUACUUUCAAAUAACUAAGUAUUAAUUUAGAUAAUAAAAAAUCAAAUUCGGGUAUUAAUUUAAAUCAAGAAGCUAAGUUUAGGUACUUAAUUUGACCAAAAUACCAAAUGGAACUUUGAAUUCAUGUUCAAGUACCUAAUUGGAAAAACAAAACCUUAGGUAUCAAUUUGAACUCUGAAGCUAAGUUCAAGUAUCAAAAUAUAUAUUUCCCUUACUUUUCCAAUCAAUAAUAAUUCUAGUGAUUAUGUUGAAAGUAAACCUUAAUUUUUGGUCACCGACAACCACAAUCCUUUUUGCAUUAUUUCUCAAUUUUUAGUUCAUAAACGAUCAAGAAUACCUUUUUUUUAUAGUGAUUAUGUUGUGAUUUCCUAUAAAAUUCUCUUUUUAUUUGCAAGGAAUCUACAACUCUAGUGUGAAUCAGGGACAUUGUCUUUGAUCGCAGGGUGUUCGCCGAAAUGCUUGACACAAGCAUGCCGGCGUGGGAAGCUAUCAGCUCUGAUGAACUUAAAUCCCACCGCCUCUUCCAUAGGCGCCAACAUAUGAAUAACUAUUCCUAAAACGAGGUCAGCCAUGCCAAUUCCAUUAAAAAGAGGCCUAAGCUAAGCUACCAAGCAAAGAGGAAGAAGAAAAGAUGGUUUCAGGGUGAGGCAUGGGCUCCAAAAGGGUAGCGGUGGAUGCAAGGCAUCACAUGCUGGGAAGGUUGGCUUCCAGAUUGGCAUGGUCUCAUCCAGUUUCCUGCUCCUCUAACACCCUCUGGCGUACCAUUCGUGGGUGCGUUUUUCUUUUCGAGAGUUUUUUUUCCCUUUUAGUGUGUUUUCGUAGUUCUUUAUUUGGUCUGUGAAGGAAAAGGAUGGAAAUUUCUGGGCUUUUGAUGCUUGGUAAUUUAGGAAGCCUUUAUUAUAAACUUUUUGAGAGAUUUUUUCUAUUUAUUUGAAGUUCUAUGAUUUGGAUAUUGGAAUAUAUAUUGCAAAAGAACCAAAGGAAUCUGUGUGUUUAGUUAUGUUUGAUAUCAAAAUUAAUAAUGAGAGUUUGCUAUUGAUUUUUCUUAUUAGAGAUCCGUGUGUUUGUUAUAGUUGGUUAUUGGUAAAAUGUAGGGACGAAGUGAAAGAGAGUAGAAUGAGUGUGCUUGAGGUUAUUAUUGUUGGAUUGAGAGAAAACUAAUAGCUGACAAGGUCUAUGAAUCUUAUGGUGCAAAGGCAAUGCGUUUGGCUUCAGCAUAUAUGUAGUGAAGUAUAUAACUGGGCUUCAUUUUGACUUUUCUUAUGGUAAUUGAUAGUUGUUUUGAUUGCAGGAUGAUUCCUCGCAAAGACUAAGGACGGAGUGGCAGCUUUCGCUGGUUUGAAAUUGAAGGCUAAUGAGGGGAUUCCUGCACCAUAUGAUAAGACUAAGAGAAUGGUUAUUCCUGAUGCUCUCAAGUUUUGCAGUAGUUGGUUUCUUUCGCGGAAUUUAGAAUUUGGUUUUCUUACUUGCUUCUGUGGAUAGUUAGUCAUGCUCAAUGUUUUUAUUGUUCUUUCGGUUUUUUUAAAUUAGGGUUUUGAGGUUUCAGAAAGGAGACAAAUUGGUGGAGAAAAUAGCAUUACCCUGGAGUAAAUAUGAAAUAUAACAUUGAACGCUUUUAUGUAGGUUAUCCAACACGCUGAAUGCUUAGGACUUGGUUUGGAGCUUUAGGAACUACUGAUUAAGAAGUUUAUGAAGACAUCAAAAGAGUCAUUUCAUUGGUUUGGCAGUUCUAGGACUUGGUUGUCCUUUACUCAGAGCCAGAGCAGGUAGGUUCUGUUUUUACUCGGCUGUUUGUGAUUGAUGUUUGUUGCACCUUUUCCCCUCUCUUUUUGUAACUGUAUUGUAGCUUUGGGUCAGUGGUUGGGCUAUGAAUUUAUGAAUAUCAAACUGUUGUGUCUGGUCAACAUUGCAGACUCCUCGAAUUGUCUCCUUACCAUCUGAGUCUUACAACCUACCAAGACAACACCGAACCAAACCUUCCGCAUACAGAAGAAAAACAUUCCUUGCAAUAAAAUUAAAACUGAUACAAAAACCACAACAUCCCAAAACACCUCAAAAAGAUAACCACGACGACACUUGCAUACACCACAGCUCAUGACACAAAUCGAAAAAGAGCUCAACUUCAAGACAUCAUCUCAUGUUAUCAAUUUGUGAGCAUCCCUUAGAAACUAAAUAAACACCAUAAAAGACGCAUCCAACAAAUUGGCAGCAAUGCAGUAACAGCAAACCUAUUGCCUCUGUGAGUCUUUAAUUACAACCCCAAAUAUCAUAUACCAAAGCAAGGAGCAACAUCAAAACCUUCAUAAUUAAACACUCUUGAAAAGUUGCCUACACACCCUUUUUACUCAUCCUUAGGUUAAAACAUGUUCUUAUCACCCCUAAACACCACCAGUCCAAAUCAUAUCUUACUCGAGUUGAAAAACCUCCUGGUUGAAGAGAAGACAAUCGAAAUCAUCCUUAACCCACAAACCCUUAUCCAACAUCGAUCAAGAGGACACUGAACAUGAUUCCAUAAUAAGCUUGUUAAAAUCCCUCAAGAAAGGAAAGCUGGAUCAGCAGCAUUCAACAGUGGUCCUCAUCAGUUAUGGCGGUCAAUGAUGAACCUCAGCCCCCUGAGCCUUUCGAGUUCACAUCCUGAUUUCGCUUGGAUUUCAUUUCGAUGAUAGUUUUUAGAGAUGACUUGUGUUCCGUCACAUUCUUUUGUUCAGGAGUUCUCUACUAAUCAGUUACAUUCUUUCUUAUGUGCUUUCUAUUUGUACGGAAAAUCUUGUCAUAUACAUGCUCAACCAUUAGGGAAUUCAAUUUUGUUGCUGAUACGAACUCGGUUGCAUCAUGUUACGACACAACUGGACGGCAUCGGCAUUGGCCCAAACACGAGGGUCCCAAGUGCAAAAUGAAGUGUUAAUUCGAGUUUGUUAAUUUGGUUGCUGGAAAAAAUGAGGAUGACUAUUACUUCUAGAUUUCUUAGCUAUAGUUUAAUUGCUGGAAUAAAAGUUAAUUCGGUUUUAGUUAAUUAGUUAAUUAAUUAGUUAAGUUCCAUAAAUAUGUCAUGGUUUAAACAUCAAUAAUUAGAAUUUAAAUUUGUCAAAAAAUAUGGACAUUUUAAAUGUGUUUUAAGUUCAUUAAUUCUGUCCAAAAUUCAUACUGCUUUAAUAUGAGAUUUAACUUGGUCUUAGUUUAGAACAAAUUAAAUAGGUCUUAAUUUAGACAACUUAAUUGUGACUCACUUCCAGACCAAUUAAUUGUGUCUAACAUUCAGCUUUUAUGUUGCAUUAAACCGAUCUUUAAAUAUGUUUUGUAGGUUGGCUGAAUAGGCUGCCCAUCAACCAAUACAUUGGACGGCAUUAAAGGGACAGCAUGCACCUGGACGUACAUGCACCUAGCACCUGCUGUUUGCUCUCCUCCAAGCAUCUCCUCGUGGAAGCAAUAGCCAAGAGUGUCCCAAUUUGUUUCAUCAGCUGAUUAAUUCGGUUCACACAUAAUUGUCCAGCCAAUUCGAGCCAUUCACACCUAGUUGACCAUUCAUUGCCGGCUUUUCACCUUUGAUGGCUGUCCAUGCGCCACCAACAGUCACAAUUUAAUUAAAGCUUGUUUGGCUGCCCAAGGGAGGUUAAUGCAUGUUCAUUCAACUUAGCUGAUAAGGAACUUGUUAGAUUCAGCUAAUUUUCUAAAUACAUUUAGCUGACCAUUCGAGAACAGCAAAGGUUAAGGAUGUCGGCGUGUCCAAUGAUUGGAUGCAUUCAUUUGCUGACUCAAUUACUCCAGCUCAAGAACCGAAUUUAUCCAGAUGAAUUACUCAGCUAUUUCGUCAGUCCAUGGCUGUUACUCCAGCUCAAGAACCGAAUUUAUCCAGAUGAAUGCUCAGCAAUUAAGUCAGUCCAUGACUGUUCGGGCAUAGCAAGAGCCAGCUGAUCAUUAAGCUAAACAUUGGAUAAUUUCAACUGGAAUUUAAGUUAACAUUUGUGUUUAAUUAAUUGUUAUAAAUUGAGGCUAUUCGGCUGGACCUAUGUGAGCUUAUAAAUAGCUUAUUGUAAACCGUUUAGAAGGUUACUUAACUUUGAAAUUUUAUGAAUAUUAAGCCUUGAGUUAUUCAACUCUUGUAAGAGUUGUUCGUUUGAGACUCGAUUGACUUAUCUAGCUCCGUCUAGUGGCGUCAACCCGAUUCUUGUUUGAACUUAUCACUUCCAGCAAGUGUGGCGUUCAUCCUAUACCGUAGGUUCCUAUCUCUUUAGAUAGUGGGUCUCGG